RNAcentral lists this ribosomal RNA (659 nucleotides) under uncultured bacterium. RNAcentral describes it as "bacterial SSU rRNA". It matches the Rfam family "Bacterial small subunit ribosomal RNA", at positions 186 to 863 of the family's 1533-position model. The record is from RNAcentral.
UCGCAUGGAGCAGUGUGAAAAACUCCGGUGGUACAGGAUGGUCCCGCGUCUGAUUAGCCAGUUGGCGGGGUAACGGCCCACCAAAGCGACGAUCAGUAGCCGGCCUGAGAGGGUGGACGGCCACAUUGGGACUGAGACACGGCCCAAACUCCUACGGGAGGCAGCAGUGGGGAAUAUUGCACAAUGGGGGAAACCCUGAUGCAGCGACGCCGCGUGAGUGAAGAAGUAUUUCGGUAUGUAAAGCUCUAUCAGCAGGGAAGAAGAUGACGGUACCUGAGUAAGAAGCCCCGGCUAACUACGUGCCAGCAGCCGCGGUAAUACGUAGGGGGCAAGCGUUAUCCGGAUUUACUGGGUGUAAAGGGAGCGUAGACGGUGAAGCAAGUCUGGAGUGAAAACCCGGGGCUUAACCCCGGGAUUGCUUUGGAAACUGUUUAACUGGAGUGCAGGAGAGGUAAGCGGAAUUCCUAGUGUAGCGGUGAAAUGCGUAGAUAUUAGGAGGAACACCAGUGGCGAAGGCGGCUUACUGGACUGUAACUGACGUUGAGGCUCGAAAGCGUGGGGAGCAAACAGGAUUAGAUACCCUGGUAGUCCACGCGGUAAACGAUGAUUACUAGGUGUAGGUGGGUAUGGACCCAUCGGUGCCGCAGCUAACGCAGUAA